Long non-coding RNA from Anguilla anguilla (European eel), 1461 nucleotides. RefSeq lists it as uncharacterized. The record is from RefSeq and is a predicted model, not a curated record. NCBI's taxonomy places the organism in Eukaryota, Metazoa, Chordata, Actinopteri, Anguilliformes, Anguillidae. The transcript is spliced from 3 exons.
CACGUUUGCUAUCGUGGGGAGUCCUGUUGCUUGUGGAAGAGCCUUGGAGCUACAUGUGGUUCUGCAUCACAUUGCAGGCUCAUGGAGUUCCUGGAUGCCCCCUUGAUGCCCAUCGAUUUUGGGGAAAUGAUGCUUCUGCCUGCUAAUCCAUAAUGUACAUUCAUGCUUUGUAUUUAGACCUAGAAUUAUUUACUCUGAUGUGUUAUCAGGGCUAAUAUGCUAACUAAAUUGUGAUUCAAGCAGGGCAGUAAAACAUGGGAACUCGCAGCCUUCCAUACACUCCUGUUUGAUGCACUAAAACACUAAACUACUUCUUGGGUUUUGUAUGUUAGGCUACACUAAGACUUGAGGAACUCUAGACUUGUCUAGAGCAGGCAUCUGCACAUGGUUCUGGAGUGUGCAUGGUCAAUAGAUCUGUUCAGCCUUUUUGGACUCAAGAAACUAGAUGAGGUAAGAACUGGCACUGCUUUUGUGAAGUGCUGAGUGACAAACUAGCACAUCCUGUGGCUUUCCAGGACCAGGGUUGCAGACCACUGCUCUUGAGAAUAUAGAUUUUUUUUUUUUUUCUACAACCAAGUGAAGGGUUUGCCUGCGUGGUGGCUAGACAGAAAUGCUAAUGAGCAUUCUGUGGAAGUUAAUUGCACCAAGGUAAGUGGAUCAAAACCAUUCGGCUACACGAAGGAGCCAAGCCCAGACGGGAGGCUCAAGAUUAAAAGGUUGUGGCAUUCACACUUAAGCACAAUGAUGGUACGUCGAUGUCCGCUCAUUAUAUUCACUUCAUGUAGGCUUUCAACCAGUGCUUUGAUUUGACAUAAAAUCUAAGAAGUAAUUAACAUUUAAAUGGGUUGUUAAUGGUAAUGUGCUUGUCUUAAUUGGCAUCCAAAUCAUGCAUUUUCUGUUGCUUUGUUGGCACCUACCUAUUGACUAAAAAGCAUCAGCUGCCCAACCCUGUUCCUGGCGAUCUGCAGUCCUGUAGGUUUUUACUCCAGCCCUAACACAUUCAACAGGUAGAUCUGGUUGGGCAGAUAAUUGGUAGAAUCAGGCAUGCCAAAUUAGACUUGGCCUGUAUAUUUACAGGAACAGAACAGGAUUGGGCUGCCCUGAUUCAGAGGGUGGGUGAUCUGGUUUGUCAUUAUUACAGAAGCAUGGUUCUGACUUACUGUGCUCAUUCUUAAAUUAUUUUUUAAAAUGCGUCAAGUUACUGGUUUGCUCACAGAAACUAGCAUACGCACAACCUUUUUUAGAUUGUGCCCAAUUAACACCAAAGUAAUGCGGUUGUGCUGUAGCCUUUCUGUGCAGAAGCGCUCGGCACAUUGCUAAGGUGGGAACUGGUUAAGGGAAGGGGUGUACUGUGCCUUGUUAAACAAGGAAACUAUUAACUUGGUAUCUUUCCAUUCAAAUAAAAGUGCUUUAUUUUUGGCUAUGUAUACAAUGUAUAAUAAAGGUCUUGCCUAAAUGCUA